Molecule: ribosomal RNA, 477 nt
Filed under: uncultured bacterium
Lineage: Bacteria
Description: partial 16S ribosomal RNA
Rfam family: Bacterial small subunit ribosomal RNA
Source: RNAcentral
GAUUAACGCUGGCGGCGUGCAUAACACAUGCAAGUCGAACGAUGAAACUUAAAUGAUUUCUUCGGAAUGAACUUAAGUGGCUUAGUGGCGGACGGGUGAGUAACGCGUGAGUAACCUGCCUUACACAAGGGGAUAGCCGUUGGAAACGACGAAUAAUACCCUAUGAAACUAUCACUUCGCAUGAAGCGAUAGUCAAAGUGUUAGCGGUGUAAGAUGGACUUGCGUCUGAUUAGCUAGUUGGUGAGAAAAAAGCCCACCAAGGCAACGAUCAGUAGCCGGCUUGAGAGAGUGGACGGCCACAUUGGGACUGAGACACGGCCCAGACUCCGACGGGAGGGAGCAGUGGGGAAUGUUGCACAAUGGGGGAAACCCUGAUGCAGCGACGCCGCGUGAUUUAGAAGGCCUUCGGGUUGUAAAAAUCUUUUGUAUAGGAAGAAAAUGACAGUACUAUACGAAUAAGGUCCGGCUAAUUACGUG